GACGAACGCUGGCGGCGUGCUUAACACAUGCAAGUCGAACGGAAAGGCCCUGCUUUUGUGGGGUGCUCGGGUGGCGACCGGGGGAGUAACACGUGAGUACCCUGCCCUUGCCUUUGGGAUAACUUCAGGAAACUGGGGCUAAUCCCGGAUAGGAGCUCCUGCUGCUGGGUGGGGGUGGGAAAGUUUCGGCGGUUGGGGAUGGACUCGCGGCUUAUCAGCUUGUUGGUGGGGUAGUGGCUUACCAAGGCUUUGACGGGUAGCCGGCCUGAGAGGGUGACCGGCCACAUUGGGACUGAGAUACGGCCCAGACUCCUACGGGAGGCAGCAGUGGGGAAUAUUGCACAAUGGGCGGAAGCCUGAUGCAGCAACGCCGCGUGCGGGAUGACGGCCUUCGGGUUGUAAACCGCUUUCGCCUGUGACGAAGCGUGAGUGACGGUAAUGGGUAAAGAAGCACCGGCUAACUACGUG
This 468-nucleotide ribosomal RNA is filed under the name uncultured bacterium. RNAcentral's name for it is "partial 16S ribosomal RNA". It matches the Rfam family "Bacterial small subunit ribosomal RNA", at positions 28 to 507 of the family's 1533-position model. The record is from RNAcentral.